UGGUGUCAAGAGAUGUCAGCUUCACUGAAGAUGAGUUUCCAUUUGCGGGACAUAACUCUGGUGUGAUAGAAUCAAAGAAGUUGACAGGAGAACCUGAUGAUGAUUGGGUUAUAAACAUGGUUGUGGAAGACAGGGGGAGUAAGUCUCAGUCAAGUAAUCAAGAAGAAACAGUGGUGGAGGUUUCAUCUCAUGGAACUCCAAAUGAAAAUGUCAUCAGUAAUGACAUGGUUGAGGAAGUUGAGUCAGAAUCAAAAACUGUAGCUGAGAAUGAAGUUGUUGCAGAACCUGAGCUAGGGAGAGGGUGCAGAGAGAAGGUUUCGUCUGUGAGAUUGAAGGAUUAUGUGAGCUACAAUGCUCAGUACUUGCGAGAACAACCCCAUCACGAUCUCACUACUCCU
This 398-nucleotide long non-coding RNA is filed under the name Brassica napus (rape). RNAcentral's name for it is "long non-coding RNA (BNAP_LNC025661)". The record is from RNAcentral. Lineage: Eukaryota; Viridiplantae; Streptophyta; Magnoliopsida; Brassicales; Brassicaceae.